CAGCCGCCGCGGUAAUACAGAGGGUGCAAGCGUUAAUCGGAAUUACUGGGCGUAAAGCGAGCGUAGGUGGUUUGUUAAGUUGGAUGUGAAAUCCCCGGGCUCAACCUGGGAACUGCAUCCAAAACUGGCAAGCUAGAGUAUGGUAGAGGGUGGUGGAAUUUCCUGUGUAGCGGUGAAAUGCGUAGAUAUAGGAAGGAACACCAGUGGCGAAGGCGACCACCUGGACUGAUACUGACACUGAGGUGCGAAAGCGUGGGGAGCAAACAGGAUUAGAUACCCCUGUAGUCCCUGUCUCUUAUAC
RNAcentral lists this ribosomal RNA (301 nucleotides) under uncultured bacterium. RNAcentral describes it as "partial 16S ribosomal RNA". It matches the Rfam family "Bacterial small subunit ribosomal RNA", at positions 509 to 807 of the family's 1533-position model. The record is from RNAcentral.